This 39-nucleotide non-coding RNA is filed under the name unclassified sequences. The record is from RNAcentral.
CUUUGUCGUAGGUUUGUGAUAUAAACAAGGCAAAAGGAG